This 548-nucleotide ribosomal RNA is filed under the name uncultured Glomeromycotina. RNAcentral's name for it is "SSU rRNA". It matches the Rfam family "Eukaryotic small subunit ribosomal RNA", at positions 548 to 1097 of the family's 1831-position model. The record is from RNAcentral. Lineage: Eukaryota; Fungi; Glomeromycota.
UUGGAGGGCAAGUCUGGUGCCAGCAGCCGCGGUAAUUCCAGCUCCAAUAGCGUAUAUUAAAGUUGUUGCAGUUAAAAAGCUCGUAGUUGAAUUUCGGGGUUAGUAGGUUGGUCGUGCCUAUGGUAUGCACUGGCUUUACUGAUUCCUCCUUCUUGAAGAACUGUAAUGUCAUUAAUUUGGUGUUGCAGGGAAACAGGACUGUUACUUUGAAAAAAUUAGAGUGUUUAAAGCAGGCUAACGCUUGAAUACAUUAGCAUGGAAUAAUGAAAUAGGACGUUUGAUCCUAUUUUGUUGGUUUCUAGGAUUGACGUAAUGAUUAAUAGGGAUAGUUGGGGGCAUUAGUAUUCAAUUGUCAGAGGUGAAAUUCUUGGAUUUAUUGAAGGCUAACUACUGCGAAAGCAUUUGCCAAGGAUGUUUUCAUUAAUCAAGAACGAAAGUUAGGGGAUCGAAGACGAUCAGAUACCGUCGUAGUCUUAACCAUAAACUAUGCCGACUAGGGAUCGGAUGAUGUUAAUUUUUUAAUGACUCAUUCGGCGCCUUACGGGAAA